CACUCACUUACAGCCUCGAGAUUUGAAGUCUUCUCCUAUUUUACACGACAUGCGCGCCUGGCUGGAGGAGAGGGUUUGAUACGCAUGCGUGAGUUACUCCCACCCACAACACAACGUGCAUGAUCUUGUUAUAGCCAUUUGGGUCCUGUCUAAGAAGGCUCCCCCUUCAAUUAUUUUGUUUUUAUUUGACUGAAAACAAAUCCGAGCAGCUCCUAGAAUGGCUUGCAGACAUUUAAUGCAAAUCAAUGGAGUGAAAAAAAAAAA
Poecilia latipinna (sailfin molly) is the source of this 264-nucleotide long non-coding RNA. RefSeq lists it as uncharacterized. The record is from RefSeq and is a predicted model, not a curated record. Lineage: Eukaryota; Metazoa; Chordata; Actinopteri; Cyprinodontiformes; Poeciliidae. The transcript is spliced from 2 exons.